CUACGGGAGGCUGCAGUGAGGAAUAUUGCACAAUGGGGGGAACCCUGAUGCAGCAACGCCGCGUGGAGGAUGACGCAUUUCGGUGUGUAAACUCCUUUUAUAUGUCAAGAAAAUGACGGUAGCAUAUGAAUAAGCGCCGGCUAACUCCGUGCCAGCAGCCGCGGUAAUACGGAGGGCGCAAGCGUUACUCGGAAUCACUGGGCGUAAAGGACGCGUAGGCGGGUUGAAAAGUCAGGUGUGAAAGCCUACAGCUUAACUGUAGAACUGCACUUGAAACUCUCAACCUAGAGUAUGGGAGGGGCAGAUGGAAUUAGUGGUGUAGGGGUAAAAUCCGUAGAUAUCACUAGGAAUACCUAAAGCGAAGGCGAUCUGCUGGAACAUUACUGACGCUAAGGCGUGAAAGCAUGGGGAGCAAACAGGAUUAGAUACCCCGUAGUC
RNAcentral lists this ribosomal RNA (438 nucleotides) under uncultured bacterium. RNAcentral's name for it is "partial 16S ribosomal RNA". It matches the Rfam family "Bacterial small subunit ribosomal RNA", at positions 339 to 795 of the family's 1533-position model. The record is from RNAcentral.